CUGCUGACUGGAGGGAGGAUUAUUACCUGUUAUGAGACAUUUAUUUACCCCGCUCCCUCACAAGUCUGGUCUUUUUAGGUACCCGAACACGAACUUCCAAGACUAGCCCUGGCUCAGUUGAUGAACUUACAUCCUGAUUUAGUCAUUAAUGAAUAAUACACACAGCCGGGAACUGAUGCGUCUAGGAACUGUUCGUUCGGGUACCUUGGAUUCCAGCCGGUUUAGAGUCAUAGAGGAAGUAGGCGGCCGCGCGC
Molecule: long non-coding RNA, 254 nt
Filed under: Rattus norvegicus (Norway rat)
Lineage: Eukaryota; Metazoa; Chordata; Mammalia; Rodentia; Muridae
Description: long non-coding RNA NONRATT020158
Source: RNAcentral